AGGUUUGUACGUUAAAUUUCUCAUUCUAGUGUUUAAUCAUGUUUAGGUUUGCAAUUUUUUUUUUUUAUCAUUCCUUUUAAUUUGGGCCUCAAUUCUUGUUUAUCCAAUUCUGGAAUCAAAAUGGUUCCUUUUCGUUUCUUUAAUGAUUUGUUCGUUUGCUUGGUUGCUGGGAGAGGGGGAGGAAUCAAUGAUAGGAUUUUUUAUUUGAAGGGGAAACGUUUGGUGAUGGAUUUGGGUUCUCAAUUUUCUUUUGUUGUUUUUACUUAAGCUUUCUCGGCAACCGAACAAGCUUUUAAUUUUAUAUUGAUAGGGAUCCAAUAAGCAAUGCUUAAUUUUGAAUUUUUUUUUAAUUAUUUUCACUUAAUUUUGAAUUUUUUUUUAAUUAUUUUCA
This 391-nucleotide unclassified non-coding RNA is filed under the name Hevea brasiliensis (rubber tree). Lineage: Eukaryota; Viridiplantae; Streptophyta; Magnoliopsida; Malpighiales; Euphorbiaceae. The record is from RNAcentral.